This is a long non-coding RNA of Oreochromis niloticus (Nile tilapia), 383 nucleotides long. RefSeq lists it as uncharacterized. The transcript is spliced from 2 exons. NCBI's taxonomy places the organism in Eukaryota, Metazoa, Chordata, Actinopteri, Cichliformes, Cichlidae. The record is from RefSeq and is a predicted model, not a curated record.
ACCUCUGACUGAGUGCCUGUUUUCGCAGUCUGACCACCUGUUGAAGGGCUGUUUGAUGACGAUUUGGACUCCUCUGGGAGAUGAGGACACACCCACAUCUGUUCCAUAUUGCAGCCAUUGAUGGUGUUACACCUCUGAGUCAGCUGUGGGCCAUCAGAUGCACACACUGGAAAACCAGCACCUGGACUUCAUGCAGGAGAGACGGCCUCAGUGAUGGACUCUGCAUCCUCUACUUUACCUCCUAAUCUCUUUCUCCUUUAACACACAAUUAAAAUCAAUCCAAAAGAGUGUAAACUUACUGAGGAAGUCUCCAAGUCGUAUACAUUUGUACUUUUACUUGUUUUGUGAGUUAUAUUUAAGAAGAGUAAAGUUAUUCACAUAAA